RNAcentral lists this ribosomal RNA (319 nucleotides) under uncultured amoeba. RNAcentral describes it as "SSU rRNA". It matches the Rfam family "Eukaryotic small subunit ribosomal RNA", at positions 864 to 1186 of the family's 1831-position model. The record is from RNAcentral.
UUGGCGGAGGUAAUGAKUGAUAGGGACAGUUGGGGGCAUUAGUAUUUAGUUGUCAGAGGUGAAAUUCUAGGAUUUACUAAAGACUGACCAAUGCGAAAGCAUUUGCCAAGGAUGUUUUCAUUAAUCAAGAACGAAAGUAGGGGGAUCGAAGACGAUCAGAUACCGUCGUAGUCUCUACCGUAAACUAUGCCGACCAGGGAUCCGGAGAGUUUGCAUGGAUGACUCCCCGGGCACCUUGUGAGAAAUCAUAAGUGUUUGGGUUUUGGGGGGAGUAUGGUCGCAAGGCUGAAACUAAAGAAUGACGAAGCUAAGACUAUUC